Molecule: small nuclear RNA, 132 nt
Organism: Anoplophora glabripennis (Asian longhorned beetle)
Lineage: Eukaryota; Metazoa; Arthropoda; Insecta; Coleoptera; Cerambycidae
Product: U11 spliceosomal RNA
Exons: 1
Source: RefSeq, a predicted model, not a curated record
AAAAAGGGUGCUUGUUACUGGAUAGCACGCGGAUUCAAUUGAAUCCGUGGGGUAUGGGAAUCAAGACAUACCCAGCACGUAAUUUUUGCAACUGUUGGGGCUGUUUCUUGGCACAGUUUCGGAGACGCCCCC